UACAGAGGGUGCAAGCGUUAAUCGGAAUUACUGGGCGUAAAGCGUGCGUAGUCGGUUAUCUAAGUCGGAUGUGAAAUCCCCGGGCUCAACCUGGGAAUUGCAUUCGAAACUGAAUAGCUAGAGUUCGGCAGAGGGAGGUGGAAUUUCCGGUGUAGCGGUGAAAUGCGUAGAUAUCGGAAGGAACAUCAGUGGCGAAAGCGACUUCCUGGACCAGAACUGACGAUCAGGCACGAAAGCGUGGGGAGCAAACAGG
Molecule: ribosomal RNA, 253 nt
Filed under: uncultured bacterium
Lineage: Bacteria
Description: partial 16S ribosomal RNA
Rfam family: Bacterial small subunit ribosomal RNA
Source: RNAcentral